CAGUAGCCACGGUAAUACGUAGGGUGCGAUCGUUAAUCGGAAUUACUGGGCGUAAAGCGUGCGCAGGCGGUUUUGUAAGACAGAGGUGAAAUCCCCGGGCUCAACCUGGGAACUGCCUUUGUGACUGCAAGGCUAGAGUACGGCAGAGGGGGAUGGAAUUCCGCGUGUAGCAGUGAAAUGCGUAGAUAUGCGGAGGAACACCGAUGGCGAAGGCAAUCCCCUGGGCCUGUACUGACGCUCAUGCACGAAAGCGUGGGGAGCAAACAGGAUUAGAUACCCGAGUAGUCCCUGUCUCUUAUAC
Molecule: ribosomal RNA, 301 nt
Filed under: uncultured bacterium
Lineage: Bacteria
Description: partial 16S ribosomal RNA
Rfam family: Bacterial small subunit ribosomal RNA
Source: RNAcentral